GAUGAACGCUGGCGGCGUGCCUAAUACAUGCAAGUCGAGCGGACGGACGAGGAGCUUGCUGCGCUGAUGUUAGCCGCAGGCGUGUGAAUAACACGUGGAUACCCUACCUGUCAUACUGGUAUAACUUCGAGACACCGGAGCUAAUACCGUAUGAUAUUUUGAACCACAUGGUUCAAAAGUGAGAUUCGGUGUUGCGGGCACGUAUCGCGGCAUCCGAGCUGCUUGAGCUAGUUGUUGAGGUAACGGCUUUCCAAGGCAACGAUGCAUAGCCGACCGGAGAGGGUGGUAGGCCACACGGGAACUUAGCCACGGUCAAGACUACUACGGGAGGGAGCAGUAGCGAAUCUGCCGCAAUGGUCGAAAGCAUGACGCAGCAAGGCCGAGUGAGAGACGAAGGUCUUCGGAGCGUAAUACCCUGUUACUAGGGAAGAACAUAUUUGUCAGUAACCGUGGAGAUAGUGACGGUACCGAGUAAGAAAGCAACGGCUAACUACGUG
Molecule: ribosomal RNA, 497 nt
Filed under: uncultured bacterium
Lineage: Bacteria
Description: partial 16S ribosomal RNA
Rfam family: Bacterial small subunit ribosomal RNA
Source: RNAcentral